This 436-nucleotide unclassified non-coding RNA is filed under the name Bombus terrestris (buff-tailed bumblebee). RNAcentral's name for it is "misc RNA ENSBTSG00005031044.1". Lineage: Eukaryota; Metazoa; Arthropoda; Insecta; Hymenoptera; Apidae. The record is from RNAcentral.
UUUCUUCAGACAGUAUAAUCUUCCAAUACUUCUUUCAUGAUUAUUCGUAUGUGAUAUAUUUCUUUGUCUACCUGUACCGCUUACACCGUGAAACUGCGUAGCAAAAGAAAAAAAGAAAAAAACGGGAACGAGGAAAAAAGAAAGCCAAAAAGGAUAGAAUUUCAACGGUAAAGUGGAAUUUUUAUUGUUUAUUUGAUGCGUUGUCGCGCUGCAGUUCAGCUAACGCUACAGUUUGUGUUGCUAUGGAAAUCGUUUGCCGGAAAUGUGGCUCGUAUUUCCGGCCAGACAGAUCAUCCGUAUGUUACUAUACUAAUACGAUUAUUCGAGAAUAAUGAAAGAAAAUUGUGAAGGUCUGAAUUUAAUAACAAUGUAACGUAAACCUCUUUUCCUUCCUUAUUUCUGGCCCGCAACUAUCCAUGAGAAGAUCUUCAUUCGA